RNAcentral lists this ribosomal RNA (465 nucleotides) under uncultured bacterium. RNAcentral's name for it is "bacterial SSU rRNA". It matches the Rfam family "Bacterial small subunit ribosomal RNA", at positions 917 to 1382 of the family's 1533-position model. The record is from RNAcentral.
GGGCCCGCACAAGCGGUGGAGCAUGUGGUUUAAUUCGAUGCAACGCGAAGAACCUUACCUACCUUUGAAUCCACGGAAUUCUAUAGAGAUGUAGAAGUGCCUUCGGGAACCGUGAGACAGGUGCUGCAUGGCUGUCGUCAGCUCGUGUCGUGAGAUGUUGGGUUAAGUCCCGUAACGAGCGCAACCCUUGUCCUUAGUUACCAGCGAGUCAUGUCGGGGACUUUAAGGAGACUGCCGGUGAUAAACCGGAGGAAGGUGGGGAUGACGUCAAGUCCUCAUGGCCCUUACAGGUAGGGCUACACACGUGCUACAAUGGCCGGUACAAAGGGUUGCCAACCCGCGAGGGGGAGCUAAUCUCAAAAAGCCGGUCGUAGUCCGGAUUGGAGUCUGCAACUCGACUCCAUGAAGCUGGAAUCGCUAGUAAUCGCGGAUCAGAACGCCGCGGUGAAUACGUUCCCGGGCCUU